Molecule: ribosomal RNA, 443 nt
Filed under: uncultured bacterium
Lineage: Bacteria
Description: partial 16S ribosomal RNA
Rfam family: Bacterial small subunit ribosomal RNA
Source: RNAcentral
CCUACGGGAGGCAGCAGUGGGGAAUAUUGGGCAAUGGGCGCAAGCCUGACCCAGCAACGCCGCGUGAAGGAAGAAGGCUUUCGGGUUGUAAACUUCUUUUCUCAGGGACGAAGCAAGUGACGUCACCUGAAGAAUAAGCCACGGCCAACUACGUGCCAGCAGCCGCGGUAAUACGUAGGUGGCAAGCGUUAUCCGGAUGUACUGGGUGUAAAGGGCGUGUAGGCGGGAAAGCAAGUCAGAUGUGAAAACCAUGGGCUCAACCUGUGGCCUGCAUUUGAAACUGUUCUUCUUGAGUACUGGAGAGGCAGACGGAAUUCCUGGUGUAGCGGUGAAAUGCGUAGAGAUUAGGAGGAACACCAGUGGCGAAGGCGGUCUGCUGGACAGCAACUGACGCUGAGGCGCGAAAGCGUGGGGAGCAAACAGGAUUAGAUACCCCAGUAGUC